UGUGUGUGAGUUCCACCCUCAGAGUCGAUGCUCUGCAGCGUUUCAUUGCAACACAGCAGCUUCUCCUGAGCCAAACAGUUAAAGAGAGAAGCAGCGAUGAGUUUUUCUGCAGCAGCAGCAACUGGGUUUGUUGUCCUGUUCCUCUCUGUGACAGUGGGAAAAGAUGAACCUGCCUGGUCAGUUAAAUAUGAUCCAUCUCAGAUCUGUGCCUUUAGAGGAUCAACAGUGACGAUAAAAUGCUCCUAUAAAUAUCCAUCUAGAAUACAAGGAAUAAAAACAGAAGUUAAAACAAGGUUCUGGUUCACUAAAGAAAAUAAUCGAGUCCCUUUGGAUCUGAUGAACGACUCUGACUACAAAGAUCGAAUAACUUAUUAUUUUACACAGAGCAGCAGCAGCUUUCUGACAAUCAAAGAUCUGAAACAAAGAGACUCAGCAAAGUACAAGUUCAGGUUCAUAACAAACCAACCAGGUGGAGCAUUUACUGGAUCACCUGGAGUCACCUUGACUGUUCUAGAUCCAGACCUCAGAGUUCAGGUCAGAAGAUCAGAGACGCAGACGGAGCUGAAGUGUGAAAGCAGCUGUGAUCAAAUCAAACCUCCUUCAUAUGUUUGGUUCAACAAAGAGGAGAAAAUGAAG
This is a long non-coding RNA of Xiphophorus hellerii (green swordtail), 636 nucleotides long. RefSeq lists it as uncharacterized. Lineage: Eukaryota; Metazoa; Chordata; Actinopteri; Cyprinodontiformes; Poeciliidae. The transcript is spliced from 4 exons. The record is from RefSeq and is a predicted model, not a curated record.